Long non-coding RNA from Haliotis rubra (blacklip abalone), 311 nucleotides. RefSeq lists it as uncharacterized. Lineage: Eukaryota; Metazoa; Mollusca; Gastropoda; Lepetellida; Haliotidae. The record is from RefSeq and is a predicted model, not a curated record. The transcript is spliced from 3 exons.
CAAUUCUCAGUCAGACAGCUGUUGACAAUGCAACCCAAGUGGCACCGUUUUCAAAUGAGGAACCAUAUUCUGACAGACGGCCAAUUAGAUCUGUUCCAAGGGAGAGGUCAAAGAGAUGUGGACAACGAGAACAGAAGGCAUUAAUAUCACAAGACAUAAAAGAAGCUUUGGUGACCAAGUGCUGUGUGAAAGAGUGCAUGAAGAAACUGUCUUUUGAAGUUAUCCACCAAUUGAGAUUGUCGUUUUGGAGGAAGACACAAACCAAACAGAGCCGCUUCAUCAACAGUAUUUUGAGAGCAGUCUUCAGAUAU